CACACGACUCUCGGCAACGGAUAUCUCGGCUCUCGCAUCGAUGAAGAACGUAGCAAAAUGCGAUACCUGGUGUGAAUUGCAGA
This 83-nucleotide ribosomal RNA is filed under the name Panicum bisulcatum (black seed panic). RNAcentral describes it as "5.8S ribosomal RNA". It matches the Rfam family "5.8S ribosomal RNA", at positions 1 to 78 of the family's 154-position model. Rfam says of the family: 5.8S ribosomal RNA (5.8S rRNA) is a component of the large subunit of the eukaryotic ribosome. It is transcribed by RNA polymerase I as part of the 45S precursor that also contains 18S and 28S rRNA. Functionally, it is thought that 5.8S rRNA may be involved in ribosome translocation. The record is from RNAcentral. Lineage: Eukaryota; Viridiplantae; Streptophyta; Magnoliopsida; Poales; Poaceae.